This 30-nucleotide transfer RNA is filed under the name Paloue paraensis. RNAcentral describes it as "Elizabetha paraensis partial tRNA-Leu". The record is from RNAcentral. Lineage: Eukaryota; Viridiplantae; Streptophyta; Magnoliopsida; Fabales; Fabaceae.
GACUUAAAAUCCGUCGAACUUUAGAAAUCG